This 406-nucleotide ribosomal RNA is filed under the name uncultured bacterium. Its description in RNAcentral is "partial 16S ribosomal RNA". It matches the Rfam family "Bacterial small subunit ribosomal RNA", at positions 30 to 526 of the family's 1533-position model. The record is from RNAcentral.
AUUGAACGCUGGCGGCAGGCCUAACACAUGCAAGUCGAACGAGUGGCGGACGGGUUGGUAAUGUCUGGGAAACUGCCCGAUGGAGGGGGAUAACUACUGGAAACGGUAGCUAAUACCGCAUACCAUCGGAUGUGCCCAGAUGGGAUUAGCUAGUAGGUGGGGUAACGGCUCACCUAGGCGACGAUCCCUAGCUGGUCUGAGAGGAUGACCAGACACCCUGUGACUGAGACACGUCCCAGAAUCCUACGGGAGGCAGCAGUGGGUAAUAUUGCGCAAGGGGGGCAACCCUGACGCAGCCAUGCCGCGCGAAUGAAGAAGGCCUUCGGGGUGUAAAGUUCUUUCGGUAGCGAGGCGUUAACUACAGAAGAAGCACCGUCUCACUCCGUGCCAGCAGCCGCGGUAAUUC